This 433-nucleotide ribosomal RNA is filed under the name uncultured bacterium. RNAcentral describes it as "partial 16S ribosomal RNA". It matches the Rfam family "Bacterial small subunit ribosomal RNA", at positions 29 to 507 of the family's 1533-position model. The record is from RNAcentral.
AACGAACGCUGGCGGCAUGCCUAACACAUGCAAGUCGAACGAGACCUUCGGGUCUAGUGGCGCACGGGUGCGUAACGCGUGGGAACCUGCCCUUAGGUUCGGAAUAACUCCCCGAAAGGGGUGCUAAUACCGGAUAAUGUCUUCGGACCAAAGAUUUAUCGCCUUUGGAUGGGCCCGCGUUGGAUUAGCUAGUCGGUAGGGUAAAAGCCUACCAAGGCGACGAUCCAUAGCUGGUCUGAGAGGAUGAUCAGCCACACUGGGACUGAGACACGGCCCAGACUCCUACGGGAGGCAGCAGUGGGGAAUAUUGGACAAGGGGCGAAAGCCUGAUCAAGCAAUGCCGCGUGAGUGAUGAAGGCCUUAGGGUUGUAAAGCUCUUUUACCCGGGAUGAUAAUGACAGUACCGGGAGAAUAAGCGCCGGCUAACUCCGUG